UCCGUGUGUGACAAGCGGAGGCUGGGGACAUGGGGGCGGCCGAGCCCCAGAACUGGCAGCUCCCUGGCUUGGUACCCUCGGCUCUGUUCCAGAAGCUCCCCCUUGUCUUCCGGAGGCCAGGGUUUCACAGCAAGCCUUCCUCACCUGGACCUCUGUCCCCAACCCUUCCAUGGGACCUGGCGGGAGAGCUGGAUUUUCGUCUCGGCUACCUACACUCCUGGCUCCCUGUUCCCCUGUCAACAACUUGCAACUAAUGGUCUUUCCUGCUUCUUCUUGGCUAAGGAGAAGCCAUGCUUUAACUGUAAGGAGCAAGAACAACACUUUGAUCAAUAACCAACCACAUAUGCCUCGCUCUUCACAAUUCUAUGUGGCAAUCACUAUUUUCUCCAGAAAACUGACAUUCAGAUGGAAUUCACAGAGCUAGAAGACAGCUGGGAUUUAAGGUGACCCACAGGACCUGCAGCUGGGGUGAACAGUUCCAAUCCCUAACUGGCUGCUGGGGGUCCCAGAAGACAGAAUGCCUGGAGAGAGAGUCAUUCCCACUGGAUUGAAGUGGACUGUUUUCCAUUCACCCUGCAGACAGCAAUCUUGUUUCACCAAAGAACUGCAUUUUUCAGCCUCUUUUUUCCCUGAUCCUCCAGCAGCCUCUGGCUGGGGUCAUGCGGGUCUCCUUGGGUAGGAAGAUGCCCAGGUCCACUUGGGUUCCUGCUCCUAACUUGGUCACUCCCCAAAUUUAUUUUUUUUGUGGGGGGAGGGGAGAAGAAAGUGGACUAACACACAGGUCUAUGGACACCUCUGCAGAAAAAUAUGUCUUUUGUUGGGGGGAAGUCCAGAUGGAAUCUUAGAGCUGGGAAAUACAUCUGUUUGCUCGC
Talpa occidentalis (Iberian mole) is the source of this 872-nucleotide long non-coding RNA. RefSeq lists it as uncharacterized. The transcript has 3 exons. Lineage: Eukaryota; Metazoa; Chordata; Mammalia; Eulipotyphla; Talpidae. The record is from RefSeq and is a predicted model, not a curated record.